RNAcentral lists this ribosomal RNA (567 nucleotides) under Halicampus macrorhynchus. RNAcentral describes it as "partial 16S ribosomal RNA". It matches the Rfam family "Bacterial large subunit ribosomal RNA", at positions 1829 to 2597 of the family's 2925-position model. Lineage: Eukaryota; Metazoa; Chordata; Actinopteri; Syngnathiformes; Syngnathidae. The record is from RNAcentral.
CGCCUYUUGUAGACCAUAAAUAAGAGGUCCCGCCUGCCCUGUGACCAUAGUUUAACGGCCGCGGUAUUUUGACCGUGCAAAGGUAGCGCAAUCACUUGUCUUUUAAAUAAAGACCUGUAUGAAAGGCAUAACGAGGGCUAGACUGUCUCCUUCCUCCAGUCAAUGAAAUUGAUCUUCCCGUGCAGAAGCGGGAAUGAGACCAUAAGACGAGAAGACCCUAUGGAGCUUUAGAAGUAUAGAUGAUUUUAUAGUUAAAUACCUGUUUAAAGGAAUAAACAAGUAUAAUUCAACUAAAUUUCUUCGGUUGGGGCGACCGCGGGGUAAAAAAAACCCCCCGUGAAGAACAGGACAAAUUCUUUGAACCAAGAGUGACAACUCCAAGUAACAAAACAUUUGACAUAAGAUCCGGCAUAGACCGAUCAACGAACCUAGUUACCCUAGGGAUAACAGCGCAAUCCUCUUUAAGAGUCCCUAUCGACAAGAGGGUUUACGACCUCGAUGUUGGAUCAGGACAUCCUAAUGGUGCAGAAGCUAUUAAGGGUUCGUUUGUUCAACGAUUAAAGUCCU